GUUGUGCUGUGGAAAAGAUUUGUUCCCAUUCUGUAGGCUCUCUAUUCACAUCAUUGAUUGUUUCUUUUGCUGAGAAGAACCUUUUUAGUUUGAAUCCAUCCCAUUUAUUUAUUCUUGGUUUUAAUUCUUGUGCUACAGGAAUUUUAUUAAGGAAAUUGGGGCCUAAUCCGACAUGAUGGAGAUUUGGGCCUACUAUUUCUUCCAUUAGGUGCAAGGUCUCUGGUUUAAUUUCUAGGUCCUUGAUCUACUUUGAGUUGAGUUUUGUGCAUGGUGGGAGAUACAGGUUUAAAUUCAUUUUGUUACAUGUGGAUUUCCAGUUUUCCCAGCACCAUUUGUUGAAGAGGCUAUCUUUUCUCUAAUGUACGUUUUUGGUGCCUUUGUCUAAUAUAAGAUAAGUGAAGUUAUGUGGGUUAGACUCUUGUGUCCUCUAUUCUGUACCAUUGGUCUACAGGUCUAUUUUGGUGCCAAUACUAUGCCAUUUUUGUUACUAUUGUUCUGUAGUAUAGUUUAAGGUCUGGUAUUGUGAUGUCACCUACUUCACUCUUCUUGCUAAGGAUUGCUUUGGCUAUUCUGGAUCUCUUAUUUUUCCAGAUGAAUUUCAUAAUUGCUUUUUCUGUUUCUAUAAGGAAUGCCAUUGGGAUUUUGAUUGGGAUUGCAUUGAAUCUAUAGUGCUUUUGUACGGUCAUUUUGACAAUAUUAAUUCUGCCUAACCAAGAACAAGGUAGAUCUUUCCAUCUUCUAAGAUCUUCUUUAAUUUCUUUCUUUAGCGUGUUGUAGUUUUCAUUGUAGAGGUCUUUCACCUCUUUUGUUAAAUUUAUUCCAAGUAUUUUAUUUUUUGAGGCUAUUGUAAAUGGGGUGGUUUUCCUAGUUUCACUUUCAGCAGAUUUGUCACUGAUGUACAGAAAUGCCUUUGAUUUAUGGGUGUUGAUUUUAUAUCCAUCUACUUUGCUGAAUUCAUUUCUUAGUCCUAGGAGAUUUCUGGUGGAAUGUUUUGGGUCUUUUAGAUAUAGAAUCAUAUUGUCUGCAAAUAGUGAUAAUUUGAGUUCU
RNAcentral lists this long non-coding RNA (1047 nucleotides) under Marmota monax (woodchuck). The record is from RNAcentral. Lineage: Eukaryota; Metazoa; Chordata; Mammalia; Rodentia; Sciuridae.